RNAcentral lists this ribosomal RNA (396 nucleotides) under uncultured bacterium. RNAcentral describes it as "bacterial SSU rRNA". It matches the Rfam family "Bacterial small subunit ribosomal RNA", at positions 29 to 430 of the family's 1533-position model. The record is from RNAcentral.
AUUGAACGCUGGCGGCAUGCCUUACACAUGCAAGUCGAACGGUAACGCGGGGGCAACCUGGCGACGAGUGGCGAACGGGUGAGUAAUAUAUCGGAACGUGCCCAGUAGUGGGGGAUAGCCCGGCGAAAGCCGGAUUAAUACCGCAUGAGACCUGAGGGUGAAAGCGGGGGAUCGCAAGACCUCGCGCUAUUGGAGCGGCCGAUAUCAGAUUAGGUAGUUGGUGGGGGUAAAGGCCUACCAAGCCGACGAUCUGUAGCUGGUCUGAGAGGACGACCAGCCACACUGGGACUGAGACACGGCCCAGACUCCUACGGGAGGCAGCAGUGGGGAAUUUUGGACAAUGGGCGUAAGCCUGAUCCAGCCAUGCCGCGUGCGGGAGAAGGCCUCGGUGUAACG